GGUUGGAAAAUUCUGCAAAAUUGAUCUACAUUCUGGUUUUGGAACUUCCAGAUCGUGAUUCAAGACUCCAGAGGAUAGCUCCAAGCACGUGGAGAGCAUGGAUUCACAAGCCAUGGCGAUGAAGCGAGGAAGCGAACGAAGCACGAUGAGGAGCUAAACUCCUUUGAAGGUAGAAUCUAGGAUAGUUUAGGAUGUAGUUCAACUGAAUGUAAUCUGCAAAUGUUGUAAGAAUUCACUCUUUCUAUAGUGUUCAUCCAAUACAAUUCUGUUUUUAAUGCUUUAUAAUCCUUCAUUAGUGUUAUAAUGAUUUCGAGUUAAGUCACGUGCGAGAGUAUUGAUUUAAUUUCUGAACUGAAUUGUAUUGAACACUUGAGUGUCUCCGGUCGAGAGAUUGAGGCAUAGAGUGUAGCGAACGAUUGACGCGCGUUAAUAUCAUUCGUUGUAGGUAGCUUCCGCCCGAGAGAUCGGGGGAGUAUCGACAACGAAUAGAGUGGAUUUUGACAAGAGAUUGCGAUUCACUAAUUUGUCGAUCUAGUUGUGAACACUUGAGUAAAUUCCUACGACAUAGUAGAUUGCAUGUGGUUUAGCUAUAGCCUAGAUGAUUCCGAUGAUUCUACCUCGCUUUUCCUUUAUAUCAAAGCACGUUUUCUAGCAAUUCA
RNAcentral lists this long non-coding RNA (659 nucleotides) under Trifolium pratense (red clover). RNAcentral describes it as "long non-coding RNA (TPRA_LNC009315)". Lineage: Eukaryota; Viridiplantae; Streptophyta; Magnoliopsida; Fabales; Fabaceae. The record is from RNAcentral.